This 1239-nucleotide ribosomal RNA is filed under the name Triticum aestivum (bread wheat). RNAcentral describes it as "partial small subunit ribosomal RNA". Lineage: Eukaryota; Viridiplantae; Streptophyta; Magnoliopsida; Poales; Poaceae. The record is from RNAcentral.
AUGUUCAAGUUACUUGCAGUUCUCCCAGUGUUCUUCUUGAGUUUUGCAAUGUCAUGGGCGCAGCCAGCCAAUGUGACUGGCCUAAGCUUCCAGCUUGUCGCCCUUAGUCGGGUACCUGACUGGGACGCCGGCAAUGGCUCUUCCUACACCGCCGAGGACCUGCGCCCAUUGGCCUUGAUGCCGUCCGACUAUGUGCAUGGCGUGUUCGUGUCAAUCGGCAUCGGACAAGGCGGCAGGCGGAAGGUCCUUGCGCUCGACACCAACGCCAGCACGUCAUGGGUGAUGUGUGAGCCGUGUCACCCACCACUGCAUCAAGUUGGCAGACUCUUCUCGCCGGCCGCGUCACCCACGUUCCGUGGUGUCCACAGCAAUGACCCUGUCUGCGUCCCACCUUACCACCGCCUCCACUCGGCCAACGGGUGCUCCUUCGCCUUCCCUUCCGCCACCGGGUAUCUCGCACGCGACACCUUCCACCUGCGUCAUAGCGGGCGAAGUGCUGUGAAGUCUAUUUCCGGUGUGGCGUUUGGUUGUGCGCACACCACCACUGGGUUCUACAACGAGGACAUCCUCGGCGGGGUGCUCUCCCUCAGCACCACGCCACUCUCAUUCUUGACUCAGUUUGGUUCGCGCGCCGGCGGGAGGUUCUCCUAUUGCCUCCCCGAUCCCACCACCUCGCGCAACCCCAGCGGCUUCAUCCAGUUUGGCAUAGAAGUCCCAAGCCUGCCGCGGGACGCCCACACGACCACCCUCACCGCGAGUGCCUCGGGCUACCACCUCAGCCUCAUCGGCAUCAGCCUAGGGAACAAGCGCCUUGACAUCGAAAGACAUGUCUUCACCAGGCACGGCUGCAGCAUCAACCCCGCCGAGACCAUCACCAAGAUCGUGGAGCCAGCGUACCUUGUCGUGGCGAGAGAGCUGGUGGUGCAGAUGAAUGAGCUAGGAUCAAAGCAGGUGAAGGGGCCGCGUGGCGGCCCGCUCGUCUUCAACAAGAUUUCCAGGACGGCGCGGACACGGCUCCCCAGCAUGGUGUUCCACUUCGCGGAUGGCGGUGACAUGUGGUUCACGGCGGGGAAGCUGUUUCUUGUGAUUGGCACGACAGCACGGUUCUUGGUCGAGGGCCAUGGUUCCCACCGGACGGUGAUCGGCGCCGCGCAGCAGGUGAACGCACGGUUCAUUUUCAACGUCGCUGCGGGGAGGCUGACCUUCGCGGAGGAGCUGUGCAGUAGGGAUGCAGCGUAG